GACAGAGGGUGCAAACGUUGUUCGGAUUUACUGGGCGUAAAGCGCGUGUAGGCGGCUUGGCAAGUCGGAUGUGAAAGCCCACGGCUCAACCGUGGAAGCGCAUCCGAAACUGCUUCGCUUGAGUCUCGGAGAGGAAGGUGGAAUGCUUGGUGUAGAGGUGAAAUUCGUAGAGAUCGGCAGGAACACCCGUGGCGGAAGCGGCCACCUAGCCCGCACCUGACGCUGAGGCGCGACAGCGUGGGGAGCGAACGGG
This 253-nucleotide ribosomal RNA is filed under the name uncultured bacterium. RNAcentral describes it as "partial 16S ribosomal RNA". It matches the Rfam family "Bacterial small subunit ribosomal RNA", at positions 524 to 776 of the family's 1533-position model. The record is from RNAcentral.